This 79-nucleotide transfer RNA is filed under the name Burkholderia gladioli. RNAcentral describes it as "tRNA-Cys". RNAcentral also lists the same sequence under 1 other name. Lineage: Bacteria; Pseudomonadati; Pseudomonadota; Betaproteobacteria; Burkholderiales; Burkholderiaceae. The record is from RNAcentral.
CGGGCACCGCGUCGAGGCCGUAGUUGCGCGCCGAUUGCAGGUCGGCGGUGGUGACGAUGUUCCAGCCCGCGCGCCCGCC